UACGUAGGGGGCUAGCGUUGUCCGGAUUUAUUGGGCGUAAAGAGCGUGUAGGCGGCCAGGUAGGUCUGGUGUGAAAACUCGAGGCUUAACCUCGAGAUGUCAUCGGAAACCAUCUGGCUAGAGUCCGGAAGAGGAGAGUGGAAUUCCUGGUGUAGCGGUGAAAUGCGCAGAUAUCAGGAAGAACACCAAUGGCGGAAAAGCAGCUCUCUGGGACGGUACUGACGCGAGACGCGAAAGCGUGGGGAGCAACAGG
This 253-nucleotide ribosomal RNA is filed under the name uncultured bacterium. RNAcentral's name for it is "partial 16S ribosomal RNA". It matches the Rfam family "Bacterial small subunit ribosomal RNA", at positions 524 to 775 of the family's 1533-position model. The record is from RNAcentral.